This 439-nucleotide ribosomal RNA is filed under the name uncultured bacterium. Its description in RNAcentral is "partial 16S ribosomal RNA". It matches the Rfam family "Bacterial small subunit ribosomal RNA", at positions 339 to 795 of the family's 1533-position model. The record is from RNAcentral.
CUACGGGGCGCUCCAGUGGGGAAUCUUAGACAAUGGGCGCAAGCCUGAUCUAGCCAUGCCGCGUGAGUGAUGAAGGCCUUAGGGUCGUAAAGCUCUUUCGCUGGGGAAGAUAAUGACGGUACCCAGUAAAGAAACCCCGGCUAACUCCGUGCCAGCAGCCGCGGUAAUACGGAGGGGGUUAGCGUUGUUCGGAAUUACUGGGCGUAAAGCGCGCGUAGGCGGACUGUUAAGUCGGGGGUGAAAUCCCGGGGCCCAACACCGGAACGGCCUUCGAAACUGGCAGUCUGGAGUUCGAGAGAGGUGAGUGGAAUUCCGAGUGUAGAGGUGAAAUUCGUAGAUAUUCGGAGGAACACCAGUGGCGAAGGCGGCUCACUGGCUCGAUACUGACGCUGAGGUGCGAAAGUGUGGGGAGCAAACAGGAUUAGAUACCCCGGUAGUC